Molecule: non-coding RNA, 45 nt
Organism: Echinostoma caproni
Lineage: Eukaryota; Metazoa; Platyhelminthes; Trematoda; Plagiorchiida; Echinostomatidae
Source: Rfam
GCAUUGCUGAUGAGUCCCAAACAGGACGGAACAGCUGUCUAGCAC